UCUUCGGUGAUGAGUUACACAGUGACUUUCGUUCUUCUGAGCAUGCUGAAGCCAAACUUUCUUUGCUGAGAAGA
Molecule: small nucleolar RNA, 74 nt
Organism: Betta splendens (Siamese fighting fish)
Lineage: Eukaryota; Metazoa; Chordata; Actinopteri; Anabantiformes; Osphronemidae
Product: small nucleolar RNA SNORD59
Source: Ensembl